RNAcentral lists this ribosomal RNA (497 nucleotides) under uncultured bacterium. RNAcentral's name for it is "partial 16S ribosomal RNA". It matches the Rfam family "Bacterial small subunit ribosomal RNA", at positions 28 to 507 of the family's 1533-position model. The record is from RNAcentral.
GAUGAACGCUGGCGACGUGCCUAAUACAUGCAAGUAGAACGCUGAAGCUUGGUGCUUGCACCGAGCGGAUGAGUUGCGAACGGGUGAGUAACGCGUAGGUAACCUGCCUCUUAGCGGGGGAUAACUAUUGGAAACGAUAGCUAAUACCGCAUAAAAGUCGAUAUCGCAUGAUAUUGAUUUGAAAGGUGCAAUUGCAUCACUAAGAGAUGGACCUGCGUUGUAUUAGCUAGUUGGUGAGGUAACGGCUCACCAAGGCGACGAUACAUAGCCGACCUGAGAGGGUGAUCGGCCACACUGGGACUGAGACACGGCCCAGACUCCUACGGGAGGCAGCAGUAGGGAAUCUUCGGCAAUGGGGGCAACCCUGACCGAACAACGCCGCGUGAGUGAAGAAGGUUUUCGGAUCGUAAAGCUCUGUUGUAAGAGAAGAACGAGUGUGAGAGUGGAAAGUUCACACUGUGACGGUAACUUACCAGAAAGGGACGGCUAACUACGUG